CCUACGGGGGGCAGCAGUGAGGGAUAUUGGACAAUGGGGGAAACCCUGAACCAGCAACGCCGCGUGAGGGAAGACGGUUUUCGGAUUGUAAACCUCUGUCCUCUGGGAAGAUAAUGACGGUAGCAGAGUAGGAAGCACCGGCUAACUACGUGCCAGCAGCCGCGGUAAUACGUAGGGGGCAAGCGUUGUCCGGCUUUACUGGGGGUAAAGGGUGCGUAGGCGGCUUUGCAAGUCAGAAGUGAAAGCCAUGGGCUUAACCCAAGAACUGCUUUUGAAACUGCCGAGCUUGAGUGGAGGAGAGGUAGGCGGAAUUCCCGGUGUAGCGGUGAAAUGCGUAGAGAUCGGGAGGAACACCAGUGGCGAAGGCGGCCUACUGGGCUCUAACUGACGCUGAGGCACGAAAGCGUGGGUAGCAAACAGGAUUAGAUACCCUUGUAGUC
This 440-nucleotide ribosomal RNA is filed under the name uncultured bacterium. RNAcentral's name for it is "partial 16S ribosomal RNA". It matches the Rfam family "Bacterial small subunit ribosomal RNA", at positions 338 to 795 of the family's 1533-position model. The record is from RNAcentral.